Molecule: small RNA, 123 nt
Filed under: Marmota monax (woodchuck)
Lineage: Eukaryota; Metazoa; Chordata; Mammalia; Rodentia; Sciuridae
Source: RNAcentral
GUCGGGUGCAGUGGCGCACACCUGAAAUCCCAGCACUUGGGAGGCUGAAACAGGGUGAUUGAGAGUUCAAAACCAGCAUAGCAAUGGCCAGAAGCUGAGCAACUCAGUGAGACCCUGUCUCUA